GCUGUUUGGUAAGUGGAUUAAAAUAAAAAGAAAUGGGCUUAAGUGGAGAAGAGGGAACAGUAGCAGAUCUGGAAGAAAGGGGGCGGCGACACUGUAGCAAAUCUCACCUCGCCGGAGCUUUGACCGGCCGUUUGGGUGGUCAAACGACCUCCGUUUCGGCUCAGAUUUGGAGGGGGUGUUCUACUCGACGAGGGGAAUAAUCCUACGGUGGCCAAUCGUAUUGUUAGCGGCUAAAUUCUUAGAUCUGUGGUAGGGGACCCUAACCCUAAAACUUAAAUUUUUAUGUUUUUCCCUUGAAAAGAAAAAUUAUAGAUAUUGUCAUUUUGAGUUAAUUAGGAAUUAUAAGUGUUGUAUGAAUUUUUCUAGAAUAUUUGGGAUUUGUUUGGAAUUUUUGGAAUUUCGGGAAAUUGAUUUUGAUUGAUAAUUAAUUGUUUUGAAAUGUUAAAAAAUUAUUAGAUGGGUUGGAAAAUUCCAAAAUUUGGGUUAAAUUGCAAAUAUAAUGAUUUGUGAAUUUUUAGGCAUUGGUUAGAAUAUUUUCGAAAAUUUUAGGGUAAAUAGUUAGUUAAUUUUGGAUAUUAGAAAUUAUUAUAAUGGUUGAAAAAUUUUGUAAGUGUGGUAAAAUCUCAAGAUUUUGAUAUGCAUUGUUUUUUUGAAUAUUUAUUUGGGAUAUUAUCGAAAAUUGUAAUGUGUGAAAUUAUUUUAUUGGAUUAUUGGGAAAUGUUGAGAUUGUUGAAUUAUUGAGGAACAUUGGAAUUGUGGCAUUCAUUUGCAUCAUGGUUAUGUGAAAAUAAAUAAAUAAAUAAAUGAAUGAAAUAGAGAUGAGAAGUGGAAGCCCGUGUGGGGCGAAUUAAGAAGGGAGAGAGAUCCCUAGGGUGAAAGACCCAAAAGUUACCUCGGGAAGACUCCGAAUGGGGAGUGUAUUUGGGUGCGGACGCGUAUCCUUCGGUGAAAGCCCGAGAACAAUAGUGCAUUGUAUGACUGUGUGUCACACGUUCAUGUGCAUUCAUGUAAUUGUUGAAUAUUGUGAAAUUGUGUAUAAUAUCAUAUAUUAAACUAUGUGAUUGAUUGAUAUUGUUGAAUUGUUCCUUUUGUGUUGAAGUGUCAUUUCCGUAUUCUUUGAAACUUAGUAAUCCCCUUAACCCCUUGGGUGCUAGGCACCCUACUGAGCAAUGUGGAAAUGCUCACCCCUUCCUUGUUACACCUUUUUAGAUACAGUUAUUGAGGAUUUUGAAUUAUGUCUUGGUUUGGAAGGGCAUGGUCCAUGUUUGUACAGUAUAUCAGCUAGACCAAUGGUUAUCCAGAGAAUAGUGGAGGCCCAAGUUCAUGAUGAGUUUUUAGAAAAGGUUAAAGCCCAGUUGGUAGCAGGUGAAAUAGAUGAAAAUUGGUCUAUGUAUGAAGAUGGGAGUGUGAGGUUCAAAGGGAGAUUGUGUGUGCCAAAAGAUAUGGAGUUGAGAAAUGAACUUCUAGCAGAUGCUCAUAGGGCGAAGUAUACCAUCCACUCUGGGAAUACCAAGAUGUAUCAAGACUUAAAGAGACAGUUUUGGUGGAGUGGGAUGAAGAGAGAUAUUGCUCAGUUUGUAGCUAAUUGUCAGAUUUGUCAGCAAGUGAAGGCUGAACACCAGAGGCCUGCAGGGUUGUUGCAACCUUUACUUAUACAUGAGUGGAAGUGGGAUAAUAUCACUAUGGACUUUGUGAUAGGGUUGCCAAGAACUAGAAGCAAGAAAAAUGGAGUUUGGGUGAUUGUGGACCGUCUUACUAAGUCAGCUCAUUUUCUAGCCAUGAAAACUACUGAUUCCAUGAACUCUUUGGCUAAGUUGUAUAUACAGGAGAUUGUGAGAUUGCAUGGGAUACCUGUGUCUAUAGUGUCUGACAGGGACCCUAAGUUUACUUCUCAGUUUUGGCAGAGUUUACAAAGGGCUUUGGGCACCCAACUGAAUUUUAGCACCGCUUUUCACCCUCAGACAGAUGGUCAAUCAGAGAGAGUGAUCCAGAUCUUAGAAGACAUGUUAAGGGCUUGUGUUUUGGAUUUUGGAGGAAAUUGGGCAGAUUACUUACCUUUGGCAGAGUUUGCUUAUAACAACAGUUACCAAUCUAGUAUUGGCAUGGAACCUUAUGAAGCACUCUAUGGGAGACCUUGUAGAUCGCCCUUAUGUUGGAUAGAGAUGGGUGAGAGUCAUUUGUUGGGACCUGAGAUUGUCCAAGAGACUACAGAGAAGAUACAACUCAUCAAGGAAAAACUUAAGACUGCCCAAGAUAGACAGAAAAGUUAUGCAGACAAAAGGAGAAGGCCCUUGGAGUUUGAGGAAGGGGAUUGGGUGUUUGUAAAAGUGUCCCCUCGAAGAGGCAUAUUUCGAUUUGGGAAGAAGGGGAAGUUAACCCCUAGGUUUGUGGGACCAUUUCAGAUUGAUAAGAGAGUUGGCCCAGUGGCAUACAAGUUAAUUUUGCCUCAACAGUUGUCCCUUGUGCAUGAUGUUUUCCAUGUGUCAAUGCUAAGGAAGUGUACUCCAGAUCCAACUUGGGUAGUGGACAUGCAAGAUGUUCAGAUUAGUGAAGAUACAUCUUAUGUGGAGGAACCUUUACGAAUUCUGGAAGUUGGAGAGCAUAGGUUCAGGAACAAGGUGAUUCCUGCAGUCAAAGUGUGGUGGCAACACCAUGGGAUAGAAGAAGCCACUUGGGAACCUGAGGAAGAAAUGAGACGACACUAUCUGCAACUCUUCUACGAAUUUUAAGGUAAGCUAGUUUAAAUUUCGGGACGAAAUUUCUUUUAGGGGGGUAGGAUGUAAUGACCGGGUAUUUUAUGCCAUGUUAGCAAUUUUAGUUUGAAAAGUCUUAUUUUAUGUGGUGGUUGAAAAGUCAAAAAGAAAAGCGUUUGGAGAACACGUGUCAAUUUCGGAUUGGCGAAUUUCGUUUUAUUGUGUCGGUCAAUUAAACGAGUUGAAAAUUUUAUGCCAUGUCAGCCUUAGGGUGGAAAUUUCUUAGGAUUUGAGUAAUUGGGAAUUUCCGGGAAAGAAAAACGAAAACAAAAAUGAAAAGUUAAUUAAUUAAAAUUAAUUAGAAUUAAAAUAAUAAUAAAAAAAAUAAAUAAAUUAAAUUAAAUUGAGGAAUAAUAAAAUUGAGAAAAAAAUAUUAAAUUGUGUGUUUUAUAAAAAAAAAAGAAAAAGAAAUGAAAAUGGAGUAAUUUGGGCUUGGAUGAAAUAGGGUUUUAAAAGAAAAAUAGUAGUUAGUUAUUGGGUUUAUUUUGAACUUGGGUUGGGCUUGAGUGGGCUGAUUAAAAGGAAGAGAGAUGGGCUUGAGUGGGCUGAUUAAAAGGAAAAGAAGUGGGCUGUUUAAGAGGAAACGAAAUGGGCUUGAGUGGGCUGUUUGGUAAGUGGAUUAAAAUAAAAAGAAAUGGGCUUAAGUGGAGAAGAGGGAACAGUAGUAGAUCUGGAAGAAAGGGGGCGGCGGCAUUGUAGCAAAUCUCACCUCGCCGGAGCUUUGACCGGCCGUUUGGGUGGUCAAACGACCUCCGUUUCGGCUCAGAUUUGGAGGGGGUGUUCUACUCGACGAGGGGAAUAAUCCUACGGUGGCCAAUCGUAUUGUUAG
RNAcentral lists this long non-coding RNA (3582 nucleotides) under Vitis vinifera (wine grape). RNAcentral's name for it is "long non-coding RNA (VVIN_LNC004182)". The record is from RNAcentral. Lineage: Eukaryota; Viridiplantae; Streptophyta; Magnoliopsida; Vitales; Vitaceae.